RNAcentral lists this long non-coding RNA (354 nucleotides) under Phoenix dactylifera (date palm). Its description in RNAcentral is "long non-coding RNA (PDAC_LNC000550)". The record is from RNAcentral. Lineage: Eukaryota; Viridiplantae; Streptophyta; Magnoliopsida; Arecales; Arecaceae.
AAAAAAACUUUAAAUGGAUUAAGUCGCCAACCAUUAAUUAUAAGAUUGAUCCUAGAAGGUGGGCUUUAGAUCUUUGCCACGUUCAUUUGCUACACCAGACAAUUUUGAAAGGCUUCUUGCGCUCAUAAAUACCUGAGAGAUGGCAAAGUUAAACACAGUUCUGCCUGCAGAUAAUUGAGAAAUAAAGAGAAACAUAGUCAAUAAAGCCAUAGUUAAUGAUUACUUGUAUGAUGGGUUUCUCCUCCUGACAAAAUAAGUAUUAAAUGGAAUGGAGCCAGGUGAGCAGUAUGCCUGCAGUGAAUCACAAACAACUUUUUUUGAAAGCGAAACCAAAAUCUUCAAUAAGUACUUGAU